AAGCGCCCACUGAAUAUUUCGAAAUAUCAAAAUCUCGUAAGCAAAGUAAUACAAUAUAAUACUAAUACCUUUGAAAUCCAAAAGAAAGAGAGAGAAGUAAUUCGAACCAUUAUUAAAUUCUGUUAAGAAUCUGGAAGGUUCUCCUUUCCACUAAGAUUUUAGUCAUAUCCAAGUGAGAAUCUGCUCUCGUAGAUUUUGCUUAGUUCAUACAGAUUGUUGUUUACCCAGAAAAUUUCUUCUAUCUGCUUUGUGCCCAACAGCCAUGGAAACAGUCCUCAAUUGGGAAAAUUACAAAAUGUGUGCAGCAAAAAACAUGGGAGAAUCUGUCAGACAGUCAUUAGACCAUCCCAACACCUUUGACGGAGCUGAGAACGAUCAUCUACGGCGGCCAUGAACCCGAAGGCCAUGAGUGCUGUUAAUCACGCUCUGGUCAAAUGGCCACGUGUCAUCAACCAGACUUAGUUUCCUGUCUCCUUAGAACUCAAGGAUACAGUGAUACGAGCCUAUAGAACAGAUCCUGUUCAAGUAAGGUCGUGACAUUCCGUGUCACGACUCUUGCUUAAGUAGCAAUUUCCAGCAUAGUGUUCUGCCGAUGUGGGACAAGGAGCAACUACAGGUACAAUUUUUAUGACAAGAAAAAAGGGAGAAGUUUUGCUUGGAUUUGAAGUCAUUAUACCAUCUCACCUAUGCCUCACAAAACUCGGCCUAUGGCAACUCUUCUGCUCUUUACAGGGCUAAAUGUUGUUCUGGUCUGAACAAUAACUCCUGUCUUAUUGGGAAAGAAGAGUAAGACACUUAUUUUGCCUUUAUCCCUAUGAAGAUGAAAAAUAGUUCUGCCUUUCAGCAGUGUCUUACAUCUUUUACGUUUCAUCAUUGGAUCGCGUCUUCUGGCCAUGCUAUUGUGCCCGACGCAAAAUUCAUUAAAGUCACAAAAACUCUUGAUGGUUACUCUUGUUUUGAUGAACCUUACAGUUAUCAUCAUCAUCAUCAUCAUCUUCGUCAUUUUCCGUAUUCAGUAGAUUGAAUAUGUUGUUGUUGUAGUAGAUUGAGUAGAGGGUCGUUUCUAUUUCCUAUCAAAAGUGGCCUUGAAAUGGAUUUUAUCUUUAAUUUUCACCUAACUUUUCCAUAACCCUGUAACUCAAAUCUGAUUUAUGUCUCUUCAAUGCUCUACUUUCAGUAGUCCUUUUAUGCCCCUGCUUUUGUUCUCCUUCUCUUUUUUGGAGAUUGCCAUGUUACUGGUGACUAUCUUUUUGUCAUCUAUGCCAGAGAGAACGUCGACAUCAGGAACAUGAAACCGUGUUGAGAGGUUAAUCAUCAGUGUAAUUGGGAUAUCGAGGUUGAGGAUUUUGUUUAGUUUAAUUUGGUCAUAAGAAAACGGACUUAUAGAGGAAGUUGGAGAACUAAUGAGCAUCUGGUUUUAUUGCGUACACGAGUUUCUGUUGUUUCCUUGGUAGAUAUAAAAGCUGAGCACAUGUAUUAAGCAUUAUACGUGGAACGAAAAUGAAGACAAAGAUGAUGUAGAUGUCUCUUAUUAGCUGAUAACUUAGAUUGCUUGAGGAACCUUUGUUUUGUUAUCUUUACUUGGUGAUUGUUGCUGUCAAACACUAUUGAUUUGGAUGUAAUAAGAAUAGAAAGAUCUGAAGGA
Molecule: long non-coding RNA, 1645 nt
Organism: Lycium barbarum (goji berry)
Lineage: Eukaryota; Viridiplantae; Streptophyta; Magnoliopsida; Solanales; Solanaceae
Exons: 2
Source: RefSeq, a predicted model, not a curated record